Molecule: ribosomal RNA, 459 nt
Filed under: uncultured bacterium
Lineage: Bacteria
Description: partial 16S ribosomal RNA
Rfam family: Bacterial small subunit ribosomal RNA
Source: RNAcentral
CUACGGGACGCAGCAGUGAGGAAUAUUGGUCAAUGGGCGAGAGCCUGAACCAGCCAUCCCGCGUGCAGGAUGACGGCCCUAUGGGUUGUAAACUGCUUUUCUACUAGAAGAAACCUGAUUACGUGUAAUCAGUUGCCGGUAUAGUAGGAAUAAGCAUCGGCUAACUCCGUGCCAGCAGCCGCGGUAAUACGGAGGAUGCAAGCGUUAUCCGGAUUCAUUGGGUUUAAAGGGUGCGCAGGUUGGCUUUUAAGUCAGUGGUGAAAUGCUGCCGCUUAACGGUAGAAUUGCCAUUGAUACUGAGAGUCUUGAAUAUGGUUGAGGUAGGCGGAAUGUGUUGUGUAGCGGUGAAAUGCAUAGAUAUGACACAGAACACCGAUUGCGAAGGCAGCUUACUAAGCCAUUAUUGACGCUGAGGCACGAAAGCGUGGGGAGCGAACAGGAUUAGAUACCCCCGUAGUC